Cherax quadricarinatus is the source of this 7027-nucleotide non-coding RNA. The record is from RefSeq and is a predicted model, not a curated record. Lineage: Eukaryota; Metazoa; Arthropoda; Malacostraca; Decapoda; Parastacidae.
AUGGCCUUGCUUCCCCCAAUAUGGUGGAAAUACUUUGCUGCCACAGAGCCUAGAGGUAUCUGGACCAGACCCUGCUUAGCUGCCACUUCACGAAUGAUGGAUGCCACUGCCAUGACCAUCCUCGAGGGAAAAAACCUCUGCACAGGGAAGGGAGGAGUGAUGACCCCAGGAGUGGCCUUCGCCAACACCAAGCUCAUUGACCGCAUAGUUGAACGUGGAAUGACUGUCUCCAGUGGUGAAGGACAAAAAGGGGCAGAUUCUAAAAAUGCUACAGUGGCAGAAGGACAACGCUAUGAUUUUGUGGUCUUUGGAGCAACUGGGUAUACUGGCCAGUAUGUAGUAGAGGAAGUAUCUCGUGUGGCCCAUCAUGAUUGGACAGAGAGAAACAUACCACUGACUUGGGCUGUAGCUGGGCGCUCUAAAGACAAACUUCUAAAUAGCCUUGCAACAGCACGUAAAGAAACAGGUUUAAACUUGGAAAAUGUAGCAGUCAUCCUUGCUGAUGUUGCAGACCAAGAUUCCCUGAAUAGGAUGGCUGCUCAGUCCACUGUUGUUAUCAACUGCGUUGGACCUUAUCGGUAUAGGAAACGAGUGGUACGUGCCUGUAUUAAAAAGGGUUCAAAUCAGUGACACUCUGGUGAACCACAGUUCCUGGAGGUAUGCAGUUGAAAUACAACUACAGCAGCAGAGAAAGGCAGGAGUUCAUAUUGUUGGUGCUUGUGGAUAUGACUCCAUUCCUGCAGAAUAUAGACUUUCUCAUUUUUUUUUUUUUUCAGGGGAACUGAACUCUGUAGAAAUGUUCGCCACAGUCAGCACUCGGGGUGCAGACUCGACAAUUCAUACAGGAACCAUGGAAUCGGCUGCCUUAGCUAUUGCUAAUCAAAGUGAGAUUGGAAGGAUCCGACAAGAGCUGUUUCCCGUGCCACUACCAAAACCCAAGUUUAAAGUUGCAAAAAAAGGGAUUCUCCACAAGAAUGACAAACUUGGACUAUGGGGAAUAUUUUUACCCACAGAUGAACCAGUUGUGUAUCGGACACAGAGGUACCGCUUUGAUGAACUUCAGCAACGUCCCAUACAGUUUCAACAAUUCUUCGCCACGCGAAGCUUUUUUCAGGCUUUUGGAAUGCUGUUAGGCAUGGUUUAUUUUGCUUUCAUGUGUUACUUUGGCUGGACUAGGAAUCUUCUUUUUAAGUAUCCAGAAAUAAUGACUGCUGGUGUGUUCAAGCAUGCUGGAGCUGAUCGUGAAAAACUGAAAGGUGUGAAAUUCACUGCUACUUUAAUUGGUCAUGGAUGGUCACAGCAACUGUUAGCUGCAUCUGAUCAACAUGUAGACCCACCUGAUUCUUCUCUUCUUGUCACGGUAUCUGGACCAGACCCUGCUUAUGCUGCCACUUCACUAAUGAUGGUUGCCACUGCCAUGACCAUCCUCAGGGAAAAAAGCCUCUGCACAGGGAAGGGAGGAGUGAUGACCCCAGGAGUGGCCUUCGCCAACACCAAGCUCAUUGACCGCAUAGUUGAACGUGGAAUGACUGUCUCAGUGGUGAAGGAGUAAGCAAGUAUUGGAUAAAAAUAAUGUUCAUGUAUAAAAAUUUUGUGUAAUUAUCUGAUUAAUGCAUAUGGAAGUUUGUACUAAAUUAUAAAUUGAGCAGUGAUUUUCUUGAUAUAUGUACAAUACAGUAAAUUAGAAAGUCAAAUUACAUACUACAGUGGUCCUUCAACCUGCAUCAUCUUUAGUGCAGGCACUGUGCUUCCUGCUUCCAGGACUCAGGUUCAGCUGACUGGUUUCCCUCAAUCUAUUCAUGCAUGCUACCUUGCUCUCUUACUGACUCGUGUCAAGUUAUAAAAACUACUUGGCUCCGCUUUGAUCUAAAGUCCUUUCAAAAACUUGAUGGAUGUUAAAGCCCUUAGCACUCAAAAUCUCCUGUACCUCCCUCCCUCCAAAACUUUGGACUGAGAGUCCUGAAGGUAAGAAGAGCAGUGCCUGCACUCUGAAGGUGGUGGUGAUGUCAGAGGGGUAAUCUGUGAUACCAGCACACUUCCAGAAAGACAGCAGUUGAGUGAAUGCUGGUGAAUGGUUUUCUUUGGGUCACCCUGCAUUGGUAAUGGUCAUUGUGUUGUGUUUAUAAAUAAAUAAUGACACAAAUUUUGAUGAUUGGGUGUUUGAAUAUGCUUGGGUUUAGUAUGGACAUAAAGAAAAUUAUUAUUAAUAUGAAUGAAAAGAACUUGAAUGUUCUAGCAGUAAAUGGAACAAAGCUAAAAGGGGGUGGGAGAAUUUCAGUGACAGGAAGAAAUUAUUAUAAUCAAAACUAUAAAGAGCUGAAGAAAAGGUGAAAUUAAAUGAUCAGCUAUGGCAAGAAAAAGAAGGGAUAUAAGUGUAUAAAUUAAUUACCAGGAUUAUAAAAUACGUAGGAUUGGAGAAGUGGUUUAGUGUUUACGAACCUUGAGGGAAGAAGGAAUGUAAUGGGGAGAGAUUUUGGGAAGUGUUAGAGAGUUUUAUGGCAGCUAACUCAAUUACAUAGUUACUAGAUGUAAUGCAUUAUGUUUAAAUUCCAGAUGUAUUUGUUUUAGACUUCAUAUAUAGGGUAGGUAUUACCAGUGAUAGCAUGUUAUAUUACAUUAUUUUGGGGGUAAUGGAAACCCUCAUAGGAAUUAUUUUGCAGUAGCUUUGGUGUUUUAGUAUUGGGUUUGUUGUUAAAUGAAGUUACAUACUGUAGUGAUUGUAGAAUUUUUGGUUUUUACAUCAGUUUUUGUUUCCCAACAUUGUCAACAUUCAAGGGAAAUGCAGGAGACUAUAACAUGAAGGGAAAGGGUUCUGUGUUUGGGGACAUCAGGACCCAUGAAUUAUUCUUUAAACAGGCCAAAUAUGGCAGUUGUUCAUAGUUCAGGGACUGGAGAGAAAAGCUGGUAGAGAUUUUAACGACUCAAAAUAUGGUAGGUCAUAUUCACGAGAUGCUGGACAGUAUCACCCAGGUUAUGUAUUACAUAUUUAAUUCACCCUUUUGGGUUAGUGCACAAUUAUUAUAAUUGAAGAAAGUGCUAAACUGACAAGGGUCAUAAAGCGCUGCAGGGCAGAAAAUAGUGCCGAGGCUAUGAACAGCUAGGUGGAGAGAGGGGAGACACUGAGGGUUAUGUUUCAAAGUUUAUAUAGUAAAGCAGUUGCCGACAUAAGCCAAAGUAAAUCAAAGGCAGGGCCAUCUACAAGAAGGCAAGGGUGGCAGUGCCGUUGGAGGUUAAUCCUGCAAGCUUGCUGGUAAACCGGGCAAUCUACAAGAAAGUAAAGAACUGAAAUAGGGACCCGACAAACCUCAGCGAGGCAUAGGGUGUCGUUCCACGAGAUAUCCAUGGGUAACACGAGUAUGGUCUCCCAAGUACAGCAAUGGUGGUAAGAUGGCCAAAGUUAGUGAACAAACAAUACAGGUAUUUAAGCAGAGCUGAAUUGUUCCUUGAGGAUUUAUUGUAUGUAUUUGUAAACAUUGCAUAGGUAUGAUUAUUAGUCCAAAGAGUUGAACCCAGAUGUCAUGCAGUACAAUAUAGGUAGGAAAUAUUAAUCAGUUAAAAGGGACUCUUGAGUAAUGUAAGGCAAUUUACACAACUUAUUUAAAAAUGUUUAACAAGUUUUAUUUUACAGUAUAUUACAGGAGUCAAGUUUCAUUCCAAUACCUCAAUAACAAAAAAAUAAAACUCCAAAGAACACAAAAAGUAAAGUUUCAGCAAAAUAACCUCAAGUAUAUAAAGAUACUGUAUUGAAAAUAUUUGAUUCUGAACACAAAUGCAUUUACAAUUUACUUCCAAUUUUAUAUUUAUGUACUUUGCAAGACAAUUGGGAGGAUACAAGGGAAAAAAAAAAUGGAAUAUUUGAUACUAACAAAUUUAAGGUUAACUUCUAUUUGACAUCACCUAGUACCUUUGAGUCACCUUUUCAACUCUUGAGCAGGAGUAAUCUUUCAAAGUAUUUCCUAAUCAAAUUUAAUAUGUACAAAAUUAUAAAUUGCAAAUGUAUUCAUAAUUACAAUUUAUUCCUAACAAGUCUAGAAAAUAUGAAUAUUAACUAGGUACAGUCAGCAUUUUGUGCUUUAAUUCGAGAGCCUUCUAUUCAUUAGCCUCUUUUUCAGUAGUUUAAAAAAACUGAUUCGUGUUAUAUUACACAUAUAAUCAGUAAUGAGUACUACUUAUUCCACACGAGAUUUAGGAAGAGAUCGAUAUGAGUGUUCCCAUAAAUUAUUCAACCUUAUACCCUGAGGUACAAGUGUAAAGAUUUUAUAAAGCAGAAAUUUCUCAGACCGGCUAAGAUACUGGGAAAAACUCUGUCACUACACAAUUUAAAUUCACAAACUCACUAUUGGCUACAUUUAAAGUGCUCCAUUUUUUCUGUACGUAUUUCCUUGUUGCACCAUUUUAAUCAAAUUUACGUAAAUAGAAUACGCACACAUGUCUGGUGUUAUAAUGUAGGUAAUUCAGUGUAAAAAUUAAAAGGGUAUGUUCAAGGGUAUAAAUUAGAGCUAAGGCAGUACUGGUGAAGUAGUUUAGACACUUAAAUUAUAAUCAUAGCAACAACACUGCAUGACCCUUGAGAGUUUAGUGCUCAGUUAUGAUUAUAACCAACUAAGCACUAUACCAGUCCUCGAAGUGCCCAGACCCAUGGGGUUGCCCCAAGAGUGUUAGGGGGGGGGUUACAAGAAACUGAGCACCCAGCAGGCUUAUGUGAACAUAUUAGAUAAGAGUGAAAGUAGAAGUGGUUUUCACUGGAUGUGCUGUUGGAGUGUGAUCAAAGAAACUUGUGAAGGGAUCUGAGGAAACUUAGUUUACUAGGUGCCUGCACUCUGAAAGAGGGAUGGGGAAUGUCGGCACACACUGGAAAGAUAGCAUGAGUGAAUGUAUUUCCUUCUUGGUUUCCCUUAAUGCCUUCAUAAAAGUAACUUUGAUCACUCCAACAGCACAUCCAUUAAAAACCACUAGUCACCAUUAGCUCCCCUCUAACAUGCUCGUUCAAGCCUUUAAAAAUCAAGUUUUGUUGUACCCCAGCUCUUCAGUUGUUCCUGGGAUGGCCCCCAACCCUUCCUUCCAUCCCAGCUUUAUACAGUCAUCUGCUCUAUGCUCUAAAUGUCCAAACCACCUCAGCAACCCCCUCCACACUAAAUUUUACUCUUGGUAUCCCCAUGUCUAUGCUUUUAAUUCUCUGCAUAAUAUUCAAACUGCACAUUGCCCUCAAACAUGGCAUCUCCAUUGCAACAUUUUAAUACCAUGCUUCUUAGGAGGGAAGGGGGUGGUAUUCAGGGUAAUAUUUAAAGGGAAGAAGAGUGUCAAGGUGGUGUGGACAUGACAAUAAGGUACAGGCAGGCCCUGCUCAACAGCAGUAUUCAGUUAUACCCACUCUUCAUUUAUUCAAACUUCCUACAAUAAUUCUUUAUUCACCACUCACUAUAAGCCAAGGACAAAAAUAUUUUAUAUGCAUUUUUUAGGCCUAUUCCUUACUUAAUAUAUAAUGGUGCAAACAUAGUUAUCAGGCUUUUAUAUGCAUUUCAAAGUGAAAAAAAGGCUAUGUUUCACUCUACAGCAGUAGCCUGUUGUACAAGUAGGGCCCUCCUGUGCAUAAAUCUAGAGUGGAAGGUAGGACAGGGAUCAGCCCAGGGAUGGUUCGGAGUGUGUGAAGGUUUUAAGCGAGACUCCAGCAUGUUAGAUUGGGGCAAGUAGUACCGAGAUUUAAAUUAGAUGAUGUGCUGUUGGAGUGCUGAUAAGGAAACUAGAAGGGAUUCAGGUGGUUAGUAGUGCCUGCACUCAAAAGGAUGGGAAAAUAUGUUGCAGUUCAGAGGGCCUUUUGAAUUGUGAUAUCUGUACAUUUCUAGCAAGAUAGUGAUUGAAUGAGUGGUAGCAAAUAUGAUUUUGUAUUUGUCACCUUACAUUUUUGGGAGACAGCUGAUGCAAAAUAUAAGAGUGAAUGAAAGGACACAAGUGUACAUUUAGGACUUCUUUACUGGAUACACUUUGGUCCUCAGACCUUGAUCACUCCAAUAUAAGAAUGUUAAGCACUAAACCCAAAGGGGUCCCCAGGACCAAAACUUAUCCAAUAAAGAUGUGCCAGGUAUGCACUUGAGGCCUUUAAACCAUGUCGUAUACCUUCUACUUUAUAAUGUAUAUAAAAGAAAAAAAAAAACAGUCAGCUUGUAAUUCAUCAGAUUUUCCAGUGACAAAACCAUAGUAGUAACACUCCUUGUUUAGUAUGGUCAUUUACCAUCACAAAAAUUUAGUUAACUAUAGCAGUAAGAAAUCAGGAUGUGUGAUAAAAUUGUGUUCUUUAAAUGGACUGUACAGUAUACAGUUAUCAAUGAUGGGAACCCAUGGCCUGAGAUUACCAGCCUGUCACCAGAGCCACUGAACCACAGACAAAGGGAUGGGCUGGUAAUCCCCGAGUAUGAAUUUUCAUUAUUCCAAUGAACUGCUACAUUCAUUCACUCCACACAUGCACGUUAUAAAAAUGGAGACAUUAGAAAACAACAAAACUUAAGUUUAUAUUAGCAUAUACCAAUUAGUGUGAAUAACAAAUUUUUAAUACAUAAAUAUGACUUUUGUACUCUCACUACAAUGUAUUAUGAGUGACAAUACUUUGAGUGUUAACAGAAACAGGUGCAAAUCAGACUGAACACACUUCUAAAAGGCAAAAAAUAAAUUUUAUUAGAUGGCUGUGUUCCCGAGCCAUUUUUGUAAAAAAUGCUACUUAGUCUAGCAAUCUAUUACACAAGUUAAACUGUCCACAGUAAUCACUGUCUAAAACUAUAAUUUUUCAUGAAGUUUAUACAUUUCUUAAAAUUUAAAAUGUGAAAGGCAAUACCAACUUGAAACAAAUUUUACAUGGUUGAAAUAUCUUUGCACCUCAAUCACUCCACAUUUUUAAAGUGUUAUGAGGUUUUUAUGUUCACUAACAAUGAAGCCAAUUUAUGAUGCUAAUGGGCUAAAUAAAAGUUAUUUUCCAUGUAAGAAAUUAACAUUGUAACAAGUGUCCUUGGAAAAAUAAACAUUGUAUUGUACCACA